RNAcentral lists this ribosomal RNA (406 nucleotides) under uncultured bacterium. RNAcentral's name for it is "partial 16S ribosomal RNA". It matches the Rfam family "Bacterial small subunit ribosomal RNA", at positions 29 to 526 of the family's 1533-position model. The record is from RNAcentral.
AUUGAACGCUGGCGGCAGGCCUAACACAUGCAAGUCGAGCGAGCGGCGGACGGGUGAGUAAUGUCUGGGAAACUGCCUGAUGGAGGGGGAUAACUACUGGAAACGGUAGCUAAUCCCGCAUACCAUCAGAUGUGCCCAGAUGGGAGUAGCUAGUCGGUGGGGUAACGGCUCACCUAGGCGACGAUCCCACACUUGUCUGCGAGGAUGACCAGGCACACGGGAACUGAGACACGGGCCAGACUCCUACGGGAGGCAGCAGUGAGGAAUAUUGGACAAUGGGCGAAAGCCUAAUGCAGCCAUGCCGCGUGUGUGAAGAAGGCCUUCGGGUUGUAAAGCACUUUCAGCGGGGAGGCGUUACCCGCAGAAGAAGCACCGGCUAACUCCGUGCCAGCAGCCGCGGUAAUAC